This 73-nucleotide transfer RNA is filed under the name Trachymyrmex septentrionalis. It matches the Rfam family "tRNA". From Rfam's summary of the family: Transfer RNA (tRNA) molecules are approximately 80 nucleotides in length. Their secondary structure includes four short double-helical elements and three loops (D, anti-codon, and T loops). The record is from Rfam by way of RNAcentral. Lineage: Eukaryota; Metazoa; Arthropoda; Insecta; Hymenoptera; Formicidae.
GUCUCGGUAGUCUAAAGGCUUAGGACGCUCGCACGGAAUGCAAGAGAUCCGGGUUCGACUCCCGGCCGAGGUA